AAACUCUGGUCUGGGUUAAUGGUAAAUUACAAUUCCUUUGUUAUUAAGAAAGAGCCGUGUUAAAUAUUAUUUACUUUAAUUAGCAAGACCAUAACAGUGACAAUGGGCCAGGCUGAAGGAGGAGAUUGCAACAUUGCAAGCAGGUUAUGUAAAGAAUAGAUAGGGGAAUAGAACAGUUCCCAAAAGAAACAAACACUUGCUUUAUGUACUUUUCUAACUUCUCUAAGAUCUCCAAGUAACUUUAGAAUUCCAAGCUCACUUCCCAAGGGAUAAUGGUUUGUGUUCGAUAAGGUCAUCUUUUCGUGGUACAUGACCCAUCAAAUUGAGAGAAGCAUAAGCUCCUUAUCUUCAAAUAGAUGAUAGCUUUGGGAUCCUUACAUGGUUAGUUUCAAAGGGGUCCAAACCAAACGGCUUACUUUUUCUUUUGCUGGUAAACUAUUUCGUUAGAAAGAUUAUGAAAAUAAUUGCACUCUUCCUGUGUCCCAAAAAAGUGUUGUCUGUUGAUCUUGUCGCAAGAACAUCACCACCUUCGUUGAUCCCUAGAGGAUGCCAAGUGCCAAAAUGCUUUACACGUACGUCAAUGUACAUAUUAUACGGAUAUCAAUAUAAUAUCAUAUUCUCAAAUGUUACUGUCUAAAAAGUAAUUAUAUAUGAAUGAUUAUCUACUUUAAGUAAUUGAUCAUUUGAUGUCAUUACUCUUUUAGACGAUAGCAUUUGAGAAUUAUGAUGAUCAAUUACUUUGAAUAGACUAUUAGCACUUACAAGUUAUGUUAAUUACAUUGAUAUGACCUAUUAAAUUUAUAUUUUUCUUCUUCUCUCUA
Non-coding RNA from Vigna umbellata (rice bean), 821 nucleotides. NCBI's taxonomy places the organism in Eukaryota, Viridiplantae, Streptophyta, Magnoliopsida, Fabales, Fabaceae. The record is from RefSeq and is a predicted model, not a curated record.